GACGAACGCUGGCGGCGUGCCUAAUACAUGCAAGUCGAACGCAGUGGGGACGGUUGAGUAACACGUUGGUAACCUCCCAUCAGAGGGGAUAACACUUGGAAACAGGUGCUAAACCGAUACUGAUUGAGCGACUCGAGGUGUAUUAGCUAGUGGGGGGGGUAACGGCCCACCUAGGCCACGAUGCAUAGCCGGGCUGAGAGGAUGAUCGGCCACACUGGGACUGAGACACGGCCCAGACUCCUACGGGAGGCAGCAGUAGGGAAUAUUCGGCAAUGGACGAAAGUCUGACCAAGCAACGCCGCGUGAGUGAAGAAGGUUUUCGGAUCGUAAAGCUCUGUUGUUGGAGAAGCGGUAUCUAAAGAGAAAGCCACGGCUAACUACGUGCCAGCAGCCGCGGUAAUUC
Molecule: ribosomal RNA, 403 nt
Filed under: uncultured bacterium
Lineage: Bacteria
Description: partial 16S ribosomal RNA
Rfam family: Bacterial small subunit ribosomal RNA
Source: RNAcentral